This 299-nucleotide ribosomal RNA is filed under the name uncultured bacterium. RNAcentral's name for it is "partial 16S ribosomal RNA". It matches the Rfam family "Bacterial small subunit ribosomal RNA", at positions 29 to 334 of the family's 1533-position model. The record is from RNAcentral.
AACGAACGCUGGCGGUAUGCUUAACACAUGCAAGUUGCACGAGAAAGCUCUUCGGAGUGAUUAGAGUGGCGCACGGGUGAGUAAUACAUAGGAAUGUACCCUUAGAUUUGGAAUAACCACGGGAAACUGUGGCUAAUACCGUAUAAUCUCGCAAGAGCAAAGGGAGCUUUUCGGAGCCUCCGUCUAAGGAUCAGCCUAUGUCCCAUUAGCUUGUUGGUAGGGUAAAGGCCUACCAAGGCGACGAUGGGUAGCUGGUCUGAGAGGAUGAUCAGCCACACUGGGACUGAGACACGGCCCAG